GAUACUUCCUUGAUAAAUUUCUGUAUUUCCUGUAAUAGAAAUCCCUCAUCCAUACUUGAGGCCAGACUGGAUACUUCCGAAAGGGAAGAAGAUGGAACAUGGAACAACUCAGGAAUGAGUUAUUUCCUUUUGCUUUAAUUUUUCCAGCAAUUCUGUAGAGCAUUGAUUACAGGUCUUUUUUCUACACCAGUCAGGAAGAGGGACCGCACAUUCUGGCCACCACAAGGGUUUCGUUUUGCAUGUGGCUUUUUUAGGGAUAGGAACGGACAUCUUAUCCUUUUUUGGUUUAUCCAGGGAAACAGGACUGGACAUAUUCUGUUAAAGACAAAUGAGAAGAAAACACACAUUUUCUAAAG
Molecule: non-coding RNA, 356 nt
Organism: Pelobates cultripes (western spadefoot toad)
Lineage: Eukaryota; Metazoa; Chordata; Amphibia; Anura; Pelobatidae
Source: the annotation of a GenBank genome assembly